Molecule: ribosomal RNA, 199 nt
Filed under: uncultured bacterium
Lineage: Bacteria
Description: partial 16S ribosomal RNA
Rfam family: Bacterial small subunit ribosomal RNA
Source: RNAcentral
AGUCUGCAACCCGACUACAUGAAGCUGGAAUCGCUAGUAAUCGCGGAUCAGAAUGCCGCGGUGAAUGCGUUCCCGGGUCUUGUACACACCGCCCGUCACACCAUGGGAGUCGGAAAUGCCCGAAGUCGGUGACCGAACCGAAAGGAAGGAGCCGCCGAAGGCAGGUCUGGUGACUGGGGUGAAGUCGUAACAAGGUAGC